Molecule: small RNA, 670 nt
Filed under: Histoplasma capsulatum
Lineage: Eukaryota; Fungi; Ascomycota; Eurotiomycetes; Onygenales; Ajellomycetaceae
Also listed under: 1 other name
Description: hypothetical RNA
Source: RNAcentral
CCCAAAAGAACGAGAUAAAAGGAUAGCCAUGAUGUCAUUUGAGCUGUUUUUCACAGUUUGCCAGUCAUAUUGGGUGUUGGCACGGCUGAUGAUGGGACACUCAGCUAGGUGGACCCGGCUUUGUUAACUAGUUAUCUGUUUCAUGCCGAAAUCCCAGCGCUCGGCUAUCCUCAUUGCCGGCCUCCAGACUUCACCCCUAUUGUUUACCACAGGACGUCGGCAUUUCUAUUAGUAGCAAUAAAAAAUGCGGAGCCUGCAUCAAAUGGGAGCAGGAAAUAAUUACCAUCCGGAAACGUACAUGUGCUGGGAGAUUGUGCAUUGAGGAUCACAAAAUGAGAUUCGAGCGGACGGAUUUCUUUACCCCACACACUGGUGACAAUAUCCUUCCAUUGUCUCCGUUCUUUUCAAGAUUCUUCGGUACGCUCACCGGAAAUCGCGGCGUAUAGCAAUUAGGGAUGUUAGUCUUUCAAUCGAGAAAACGUACUUUGAGUUUCUCAGUGGCAUGCUUGCUGGACAGAAUGUACUGUGGUCAAGUCUUUCGCUGGAAAUCAUGAAAGUAUUGUGGGCUGGUAAAGAUAUAUACACAUUGCACUUAUUGCCCCCGGCAGUUAUGAGUAUGCUGUUAGAUUUGUUGUGACAUGCGCCCUGGGCGCCGUGGUGGUCCCUAUGA